AUAAAGUGGAUUAGCGGCGGACGGGUGAGUAACACGUGAGUAACCUGCCUUAGACAUUGGGAUAGCCUCGGGAAACCGGGAUUAAUACCAAAUAAAAUCAUAAUGACACAUGUCAUAACGAUCAAAACUCCGGUGGUCUAAGAUGGACUCGCGUCCCAUUAGCUAGUUGGUAGGGUAAAAGCCUACCAAGGCGACGAUGGGUAGCCGGCCUGAGAGGGUGAACGGCCACAUUGGAACUGAGAAACGGUCCAA
RNAcentral lists this ribosomal RNA (252 nucleotides) under uncultured Eubacteriales bacterium. RNAcentral's name for it is "uncultured Clostridiales bacterium partial 16S ribosomal RNA". It matches the Rfam family "Bacterial small subunit ribosomal RNA", at positions 82 to 334 of the family's 1533-position model. The record is from RNAcentral. Lineage: Bacteria; Bacillati; Bacillota; Clostridia; Eubacteriales.